This 1157-nucleotide ribosomal RNA is filed under the name Salmonella enterica subsp. enterica serovar Typhimurium. RNAcentral describes it as "partial 23S ribosomal RNA". It matches the Rfam family "Bacterial large subunit ribosomal RNA", at positions 1 to 1190 of the family's 2925-position model. Lineage: Bacteria; Pseudomonadati; Pseudomonadota; Gammaproteobacteria; Enterobacterales; Enterobacteriaceae. The record is from RNAcentral.
GGGUUGUGAGGUUAAGCGACUAAGCGUACACGGUGGAUGCCCUGGCAGUCAGAGGCGAUGAAGGACGUGCUAAUCUGCGAUAAGCGCCGGUAAGGUGAUAUGAACCGUUAUAACCGGCGAUUUCCGAAUGGGGAAACCCAGUGUGAUUCGUCACACUAUCAUUAACUGAAUCCAUAGGUUAAUGAGGCGAACCGGGGGAACUGAAACAUCUAAGUACCCCGAGGAAAAGAAAUCAACCGAGAUUCCCCCAGUAGCGGCGAGCGAACGGGGAGGAGCCCAGAGCCUGAAUCAGCAUGUGUGUUAGUGGAAGCGUCUGGAAAGGCGCGCGAUACAGGGUGACAGCCCCGUACACAAAAGCGCAUGUGCUGUGAGCUCGAUGAGUAGGGCGGGACACGUGGUAUCCUGUCUGAAUAUGGGGGGACCAUCCUCCAAGGCUAAAUACUCCUGACUGACCGAUAGUGAACCAGUACCGUGAGGGAAAGGCGAAAAGAACCCCGGCGAGGGGAGUGAAAAAGAACCUGAAACCGUGUACGUACAAGCAGUGGGAGCACCCUUCGGGGUGUGACUGCGUACCUUUUGUAUAAUGGGUCAGCGACUUAUAUUCUGUAGCAAGGUUAACCGUAUAGGGGAGCCGGAGGGAAACCGAGUCUUAAUUGGGCGUUAAGUUGCAGGGUAUAGACCCGAAACCCGGUGAUCUAGCCAUGGGCAGGUUGAAGGUUGGGUAACACUAACUGGAGGACCGAACCGACUAAUGUUGAAAAAUUAGCGGAUGACCUGUGGCUGGGGGUGAAAGGCCAAUCAAACCGGGAGAUAGCUGGUUCUCCCCGAAAGCUAUUUAGGUAGCGCCUCGUGAAUUCAUCUCCGGGGGUAGAGCACUGUUUCGGCUAGGGGGCCAUCCCGGCUUACCAACCCGAUGCAAACUGCGAAUACCGGAGAAUGUUAUCACGGGAGACACACGGCGGGUGCUAACGUCCGUCGUGAAGAGGGAAACAACCCAGACCGCCAGCUAAGGUCCCAAAGUCAUGGUUAAGUGGGAAACGAUGUGGGAAGGCCCAGACAGCCAGGAUGUUGGCUUAGAAGCAGCCAUCAUUUAAAGAAAGCGUAAUAGCUCACUGGUCGAGUCGGCCUGCGCGGAAGAUGUAACGGGGCUAAACCAU